This is a long non-coding RNA of Lolium rigidum, 1053 nucleotides long. RefSeq lists it as uncharacterized. The record is from RefSeq and is a predicted model, not a curated record. The transcript has 4 exons. NCBI's taxonomy places the organism in Eukaryota, Viridiplantae, Streptophyta, Magnoliopsida, Poales, Poaceae.
CCUGAAGUUAAAUGGUUUUGCUUGCGCCUACAGUAUAUGAAAGCAGUUUCAGUACGUGUUGUUUAAAAAGCACUAGACUAUUAGUAUGGAGGAACUCAUCCAUGAAUCUGUUUGCAGUAUAUAUUAUACCAAUGUUAUUUUCUCCCUUUUUUAGCUAAACGCUCCGAGGGCAGAGGGAAGCUUCUCCUAUGAGAGAAAGGCUCGUGGUUUGAACCGGGAUUGGUCUUUGGGUUACAGAGGCGGUCGUUUGGCUUGAGUGGUGCAGCUUGGAGGAACGUAGGUGGAGACAACGAUAUGGGCAAACAAUGCUGCAUCAGCAUCAAGAGUUUUGUUCUGUGUACAACAGCUCAUCAACUGGCCAUGCGAGGCGCGACGACUGCGGCUGGCAGCACGAGGGUGUGGGGCUGGUCGGCUGGAAGGCGUGCCGGAGGUGUGGCCACAACUGAGUACCUAAGUGAGCUUGCUUUGGUUCAUGUCAUGAAGAGACUGGCGGCCUGCCUCCGAGGGAGGCGACACUGAAUGCGCUGAGCCGAUGUCAUCUGAAGAAUCAAGCACCAAGAUACUGCCUCAAGCUGGCAUCUUGCCACUGCUCGCUGUCUCGCUGCUCCAUGGCCAGGUAUGGCGGCGAUGUGCUUUGUCCAGUGGAGACAAGCGGCGUGGGAGAAGAUGAACAUCGGGAGGGGUCGAGGUUGAGCAGGAGAUGAAGGGGUUGUCGUGCGCAGCACCGUGCUCGGUUUACCUUGGGCUCAUCAUCAAGGACUAUGGCAACAGUCGGGUCUGAUCCGGAGGCGGUGUGGUCAGCGUGUCCUCAGCCGAAGGAGGCGAGGACCAGCACGAGGUUUCAUAGCUUCAAAUCAUUCACUAAUUGAUCUUCUGGAAAUGUAUUAAGACCAUCGUGCAAAAGUUCAUGAUUGUUUGACUCAGUUAUGGCAAAUUAAGCCAUGAUUGUUUGACUCAGUUAUGGCAAAUUAAGCAAAUGAGCUUUUCAUGUAUUCAUGUUUGUAUCAGAUCGGCUUAUUAACAUUUGUGAAACAGUGGAGAUGUUGCUCGGUC